UACGAAGGGGGCUAGCGUUGCUCGGAAUUACUGGGCGUAAAGCGUACGUAGGCGGAUCCUUAAGUCGGUGGUGAAAUCCUGAAGCUCAACUUCAGAACUGCAUUCGAUACUGGCGGGCUAGAGACCGGAAGAGGUGGGUGGAAUACCCAGUGUAGAGGUGAAAUUCGUAGAUAUCUGGAGGAACACCGGUGGCGAAGGCGGCAUCCUGGACCGACACUGACGCUGGGGAGCGAAAGCCAGGGGAGCAAACGGG
Molecule: ribosomal RNA, 253 nt
Filed under: uncultured bacterium
Lineage: Bacteria
Description: partial 16S ribosomal RNA
Rfam family: Bacterial small subunit ribosomal RNA
Source: RNAcentral